GAGCAGCGGUUGCACUUAGUUGCGGCUGCUGUCACAAUGUCCCGCGUUUUGGUGCCUUGCCAUGUGAAAGGCUCCGUAGCCCUCCAGGUGGGCGACGUGCGGACCUCCCAAGGCCGGCCUGGCGUGCUGGUCAUCGAUGUCACCUUCCCCAGCGUCGCUCCCUUCGAGGAAAUCACGUUUAAGAAUUACUACACAGCUUUUUUGAGCAUCCGUGUCCGUCAGUACACCUCAGCACACACACCUGCCAAGUGGGUGACCUGCCUGCGGGACUACUGCCUAAUGCCUGACCCACACAGUGAGGAGGGAGCCCAGGAGUAUGUAUCGCUGUUCAAGUAUCAGAUGCUGUGUGACAUGGCUAGAGUAUCGGAGCUACGCCUGAUUCUGCGGCAGCCAUCACCACUGUGGCUGUCUUUCACAGUGGAGGAGCUGCAGAUCUAUCAGCAGGGACCAAAGAGCCCCUCCGUGACCUUUCCCAAGUGGCUCUCCCACCCAGUGCCCUGUGAGCAACCUGCACUCCUCCGUGAGGUAAGCCCUCACCCUAGGUAAGAACCAUGUGUGAAUGGCUCUAGUGUCCAACACAGGCCAGGUAGACCCCUUCCUGUAAAAUUCUGGGGCUGGGCCCAGGGCCCUUGGGUGUUAUCUUCCUCCUGGGUAUUCUGUGGGAUUUGAGGCAUCUCUGUUGUGGGGCUACAUCAGGCCCUAACCUCAUGUUUCAUAAGCCAUCUGAGAAUGUUGUUGGUCUCAGCUGGAGGGCCCCUAGCCCAGGUUGGCCUCUCUGGAGCCCGAAGGGCACUGCUGGGGAGAGACCCAUGGCCACUGACCCCUCCUUCUGGAGCAGGGUCUCCCAGACCCCAGCAGGGUAUCCUCCGAGGUGCAGCAGAUGUGGGCACUGACAGAGAUGAUCCGGGCCAGUCACACCUCUGCAAGGAUCGGCCGCUUUGAUGUAAGUAAUCGCUUCCUUCUGCUUGGCUUGCUUUGCCCUGAGCAGAUCAGACCUGAUGGUCUUUUGUAUUUCAGGUGGAUGGCUGUUAUGACCUGAACUUGCUCUCCUACACUUGAAUGGUUGCUCCUAGCCAAGAUGUUGGCCUUUCUGUGCCCACCCAGACUUGGUUUGGGCCACCAGAGGCUGAAGUGUGUUUCCUGUGCAUUCCAAGUGUUGCCUGCAUGCCUGUUCUGUCUGGGCCACGUUCACAGAUUCAGGAUUCUCAGGGGCUUACCGUGUUACUUUAGCAUGAGCUCCUGGCAUGGGGGUGCUCUGUCUUCGCCUGGCUGCAACUCAAUUCUUCCUUCUACCCAAAAACACUCCAGUCAGUUGUACUUACUGAGAAUCCCUGAGUGCCCUCUGCCCCUUCUGGCAACAUGCACAUUCCUGUCUUCUGCCUGCUCCCUCAUGUCAGUGCAGUUGGGCUGGGCUGACCUACUAAAACCUGCUCCAUGUAUGGACCUGGAAGGCCAUUGCUGCCAUGGCACUUGGGACACUUGAGGAAGAAACAGAAACCUUAUUUCUUCCUGUGUGUCCCCUAGUGGUUUUCUUUCCAUUUGUGUUAUGCCACAGAGAGAAAUUUCCUGUCUGAACUCUUCUGCUGCCUGCCUAGGAAGGAAACCUGAAGAUUUGGGCAGCCUGAGUCUCUCGGUUUCUGAGCUGCUCCUGAAUAUAUGUUCAAGUGGGUGUGCCCAUAGGGCCUGGGCACGUGUCUCUAGCAAAACCAGGGCCUGAGAAUAAGAACUGGGACCCUUCUAGGCAGGGUGCGGUAGCUCACGCCUGUAAUCCCAGCACUUUGGGAGGCCCAGGCAGGCGGAUCACCUGAGGUCAGGA
RNAcentral lists this small RNA (1816 nucleotides) under Pan troglodytes (chimpanzee). Its description in RNAcentral is "retained intron". Lineage: Eukaryota; Metazoa; Chordata; Mammalia; Primates; Hominidae. The record is from RNAcentral.